This 497-nucleotide ribosomal RNA is filed under the name uncultured bacterium. Its description in RNAcentral is "partial 16S ribosomal RNA". It matches the Rfam family "Bacterial small subunit ribosomal RNA", at positions 28 to 507 of the family's 1533-position model. The record is from RNAcentral.
GACGAACGCUGGCGGCGUGCCUAAUACAUGCAAGUUGAGCGAUGAAGAUUGGUGCUUGCACCAAUUUGAAGAGCAGCGAACGGGUGAGUAACGCGUGGGGAAUCUGCCUUUGAGCGGGGGACAACAUUUGGAAACGAAUGCUAAUACCGCAUAAUAACUUUAAACAUAAGUUUUAAGUUUGAAAGGUGCAAUUGCAUCACUCAAAGAUGAUCCCGCGUUGUAUUAGCUAGUUGGUGAGGUAAAGGCUCACCAAGGCGAUGAUACAUAGCCGACCUGAGAGGGUGAUCGGCCACAUUGGGACUGAGACACGGCCCAAACUCCUACGGGAGGCAGCAGUAGGGAAUCUUCGGCAAUGGACGAAAGUCUGACCGAGCAACGCCGCGUGAGUGAAGAAGGUUUUCGGAUCGUAAAACUCUGUUGGUAGAGAAGAACGUUGGUGAGAGUGGAAAGCUCAUCAAGUGACGGUAACUACCCAGAAAGGGACGGCUAACUACGUG